This is a long non-coding RNA of Canis lupus familiaris (dog), 708 nucleotides long. RefSeq lists it as uncharacterized. The record is from RefSeq and is a predicted model, not a curated record. Lineage: Eukaryota; Metazoa; Chordata; Mammalia; Carnivora; Canidae. The transcript is spliced from 3 exons.
GGGGAGCAGCGGGGGCCGCCGGGGGGCCAGGAGUUGCAGGGCUCCGCUUGCAGACAGCGCGGCAGCCCCAGUGGCAAGGAAGCAGGUGGUGUUUGGGGGCCUGCUUGACGUUAGGGCCUUCCUUGUCCCUGUGAACAAACGCUCCACACCUUUCGCGGGGCACUUUCUUACAUGUAUGAGAACUCAAAAAGUUUUGUGCCCCUGAAUUCAGGCUGGGCAUGGGCUCCAGGAGCAAACUCGCCUCCCGGGAAAGCCAGGUCUACGGUGGACACAGGGGGCAUCGCCAAACCGCAUUUCCCUAAAACAACAGCAGCAGUUAUUUUGACAAAGUGAACAGAGCCAGAGCCCAGGGGCUUGGCUGAGCUCGCCCGGCCUCACCCUAGCCACAGGCCCUCUCGGGAGCAGUCACUGCCCCGUCCUCCCUGAAGGUUGGCACCUGGAACUCAAGGGUCACAGCCCUCCAGCAGGAAGAGGACUGCGCUCCCCAGGCUUUUGAGAAUGGAGACUGAGAUCGCCUGCGCUGUGGAGCUUUGCGGGGAGGAAGGGUAGAGCUCGUUGUUAUAAUUGUGACUGAAGGAGACAGUACACCAGGCGACUGGCUCUUGGAGAGCGAAGGAUGAGCUGGCUGGAGGCGGGGGAACAGGGAGGCUUCGCCUUCUCUCAUUGGAGCAGAAAAUGGUAGAAUGGAACCUAUUAUCCGCUGUAUUA